AUUGAACGCUGGCGGCAUGCCUUACACAUGCAAGUCGAACGGUAACAGGUCUUCGGAUGCUGACGAGUGGCGAACGGGUGAGUAAUACAUCGGAACGUGCCUAGUAGUGGGGAUAACUACUCGAAAGAGUGGCUAAUACCGCAUGAGAUCUACGGAUGAAAGCAGGGGAUCGCAAGACCUUGUGCUACUAGAGCGGCCGAUGGCCGGUUGGGUAGUUGGAGGGAUAAAAGCUUACCAAGCCGACGAUCUGUAGCUGGUCUGAGAGGACGAUCGGCCACACUGGGACUGGCACCCGGCCCAGACUCCUACGGGAGGCAGCAGUGGGGAAUUUUGGACAAUGGGCGAAAGCCUGAUCCAGCGAUGCCGCGUGCAGGAUGAAGGCCUUCGGGUUGUAAACUGCUUUUGUACGGAACGAAAAGCCCCGGGUUAAUACCCUGGGGUCAUGACGGUACCGUAAGAAUAAGCACCGGCUAACUACGUGCCAGCCGCCGCGGUAA
RNAcentral lists this ribosomal RNA (497 nucleotides) under uncultured bacterium. RNAcentral's name for it is "partial 16S ribosomal RNA". It matches the Rfam family "Bacterial small subunit ribosomal RNA", at positions 30 to 523 of the family's 1533-position model. The record is from RNAcentral.